Molecule: ribosomal RNA, 584 nt
Filed under: Kluyveromyces marxianus
Lineage: Eukaryota; Fungi; Ascomycota; Saccharomycetes; Saccharomycetales; Saccharomycetaceae
Description: eukaryotic LSU rRNA
Rfam family: Eukaryotic large subunit ribosomal RNA
Source: RNAcentral
CCAACCGGGAUUGCCUUAGUAACGGCGAGUGAAGCGGCAAAAGCUCAAAUUUGAAAUCUGGCGUCUUCGACGUCCGAGUUGUAAUUUGAAGAAGGCAACUUUGUAGCUGGUCCUUGUCUAUGUUCCUUGGAACAGGACGUCAUAGAGGGUGAGAAUCCCGUGUGGCGAGGAUCCCAGUUAUUUGUAAAGUGCUUUCGACGAGUCGAGUUGUUUGGGAAUGCAGCUCUAAGUGGGUGGUAAAUUCCAUCUAAAGCUAAAUAUUGGCGAGAGACCGAUAGCGAACAAGUACAGUGAUGGAAAGAUGAAAAGAACUUUGAAAAGAGAGUGAAAAAGUACGUGAAAUUGUUGAAAGGGAAGGGCAUUUGAUCAGACAUGGCGUUUGCUUCGGCUUUCGCUGGGCCAGCAUCAGUUUUAGCGGUUGGAUAAAUCCUCGGGAAUGUGGCUCUGCUUCGGUAGAGUGUUAUAGCCCGUGGGAAUACAGCCAGCUGGGACUGAGGAUUGCGACUUUUGUCAAGGAUGCUGGCGUAAUGGUUAAAUGCCGCCCGUCUUGAAACACGGACCUCCUGUGUGAAGUGAUCCGCUAA